RNAcentral lists this ribosomal RNA (1689 nucleotides) under Triticum aestivum (bread wheat). RNAcentral describes it as "partial small subunit ribosomal RNA". The record is from RNAcentral. Lineage: Eukaryota; Viridiplantae; Streptophyta; Magnoliopsida; Poales; Poaceae.
AUGGCCGACGGCAACGCCCCCGGCUCGCCGGCUUCUUCGCUCCAGAGCCACCGCUACGCCAUCAAAUCCUCAGUGCACAAUACGGCAGCUAGCCGGAGGCGUGAACAGGCUAUAGCAAUAGGGAAGGAAAGAAGGGAAGCCUUAAUGCGUGCAAAGCGUGUGUGCCGUGCCCCACUUUCUGGCAGCGAUGAGGCUACAAUUGAAGAUGGUGAUAUGGUUAUUGAUGAGAAAGCAGAUCUUGAAACAAGAACUGCUCAAGCUGUUGAAGAAUUGAAAUCAGCUUUGUCAAGCCAGGGAAAAGGGGCCCAGAAGAAGAAGAUAGAGGCACUUCGUGCAGUGAGACGCGUGUUGUCACAGUCUGAAGUACCUCCCAUUCAAGUAGCAAUUAAAGCUGGGGCAGUUCCUCUUUUAGUGCAAUAUCUGUCCUUUGGAUCUUCAGAUGAACAGUUGCUAGAGGCUGCUUGGUGCCUUACAAACAUAGCAGCUGGGGAGCCAGAAGAAACAAAAUCCGUGCUGCCCGCAUUACCAUUGCUUGUUGCUCACCUUGGUGAGAAGAGCUCCACACUUGUUGCUGAGCAAUGUGCAUGGGCCAUCGGUAAUGUUGCUGGUGAAGGAGCGGACCUGAGAAGCACAUUAAUUGCACAGGGUGCUUUGUGGCCUCUUGCCCGCCUAAUGCUAUCAAGCAAGGGUUCUACAGCAAGAACUGCUGCUUGGGCAUUGUCAAAUCUCAUCAAGGUUAUGAUCUCUUGCUUUGACUGUAUGAGUCUCAAGUUUCUUAUGCCAGAGUUCAACAGUUAUCUCUUUCCAAGUUCUUAUUAUGGAUUAGGAGUGCUUCGGCAAAAGCGUAAAGGGCCUGAUCCCAAGGCUGCGUAUGAGCUUAUUAACAUCGAUGGUGUGCUAAAUGCGAUCAUAAGGAACUUGGAAAAGGCGGACGAAGAGUUAGCAACUGAGGUGGCAUGGGUAGUGGUAUAUCUUUCAGCACUUCCAGAAAAAGCUAUCAGCUUAAUAGUACGAAGCCAUGUGCCUCAGUUGCUGAUUGGACGCCUGCUGGCAUCUGAGAACUUGCAGUUGCUCAUUCCGGUGCUUCGUGGUUUAGGGAAUCUUGUAGCCGGGGAUGAAUACAUGGUUGAUUCAAUCCUAAUUGUUGGAAACAGCAUCACAGAUCAAGCUUUAUCAAGUCUCAUAAAAUGUUUGAAGAGUGACAAUAGGGUUCUCAGAAAGGAGGCUUCAUGGGCAUUGUCAAAUAUAGCAGCAGGCAGCUUUGAGCACAAGAAAUUGAUUUUUACCAGUGAGGCGACGCCUUCGCUAAUACACCUCCUGACGAGUGCACAGUUUGACAUUCGCAAGGAAGCAGCUUACACCCUGGGCAAUCUGUGUGUUGUCCCAGCAGGAAGUACUGAGCCCCCGAACAUAAUCACCGAACAUCUAGUCUCGAUCAUAAAUGGUGGAGCCCUUCCAGGAUUCAUAAAUUUGGUCAGAUCUGCUGAUAUAGAGAGCGCAAGACUCGGACUUCAGUUCCUGGAACUGGUGAUGAGGGGGUAUCCCAAUGGACAGGGUCCCCAGCUUGUGGAGAGGGGGGACGGCAUCGAGGCCAUGGAGAGGUUCCAGUUCCACGAGAACGAGGCGAUGAGGAACAUGGCCAAUGGGCUGGUCGACAAAUACUUCGGCGAGGAUUACGGCCUCGAGUGA